RNAcentral lists this ribosomal RNA (488 nucleotides) under Escherichia coli. Its description in RNAcentral is "partial 23S ribosomal RNA". It matches the Rfam family "Bacterial large subunit ribosomal RNA", at positions 705 to 1191 of the family's 2925-position model. The record is from RNAcentral. Lineage: Bacteria; Pseudomonadati; Pseudomonadota; Gammaproteobacteria; Enterobacterales; Enterobacteriaceae.
GGGUAUAGACCCGAAACCCGGUGAUCUAGCCAUGGGCAGGUUGAAGGUUGGGUAACACUAACUGGAGGACCGAACCGACUAAUGUUGAAAAAUUAGCGGAUGACUUGUGGCUGGGGGUGAAAGGCCAAUCAAACCGGGAGAUAGCUGGUUCUCCCCGAAAGCUAUUUAGGUAGCGCCUCGUGAAUUCAUCUCCGGGGGUAGAGCACUGUUUCGGCAAGGGGGUCAUCCCGACUUACCAACCCGAUGCAAACUGCGAAUACCGGAGAAUGUUAUCACGGGAGACACACGGCGGGUGCUAACGUCCGUCGUGAAGAGGGAAACAACCCAGACCGCCAGCUAAGGUCCCAAAGUCAUGGUUAAGUGGGAAACGAUGUGGGAAGGCCCAGACAGCCAGGAUGUUGGCUUAGAAGCAGCCAUCAUUUAAAGAAAGCGUAAUAGCUCACUGGUCGAGUCGGCCUGCGCGGAAGAUGUAACGGGGCUAAACCAUG